ACUUAUAAGUUGUUUUUAAUGAUGGGACAUCCGAUUCAUCGAUCGGUUCCGUUAGACAUGAUCUAUGCUAUUGAAACUAUCUAGAGUCUAAAAUUUUCUAAUUUUUUUUACUUCAUUUGCCUAGUGAACGAGUAGCCUCAAAAUGAACGGCUGAAAAUAAAAAUUUCAUAAAAAAUAGUGAUAAAAGACUCAAAUUUUAAAUCACAAGUAUUGAUCUUGCUAUUGACGUUAAGUAGAAUUUUCUAUUAAAGUCUUAUGUAAUUUAGAUUGUUCUACACCGUUGACUUAAAAACGUGCCACAUUGACCGUUAAAAUAGUCACUUUCAGGCCUUUUGAUCACUUAGUAAAUAAAGUCAAAAAAUUAUAAAAUUUGAUUUUUAGAUAGUUCCAAUAGGGUAGAUUUUGCCUAACGGAGCUGGAGCUAGUCGUCGAAUUGGAUGUCCUAACAUCAAAAAUAAUUUACAAGCA
RNAcentral lists this long non-coding RNA (468 nucleotides) under Ananas comosus (pineapple). Its description in RNAcentral is "long non-coding RNA (ACOM_LNC041385)". Lineage: Eukaryota; Viridiplantae; Streptophyta; Magnoliopsida; Poales; Bromeliaceae. The record is from RNAcentral.